Long non-coding RNA from Canis lupus familiaris (dog), 2398 nucleotides. RefSeq lists it as uncharacterized. The transcript is spliced from 3 exons. The record is from RefSeq and is a predicted model, not a curated record. Lineage: Eukaryota; Metazoa; Chordata; Mammalia; Carnivora; Canidae.
CGGGGCCCUCAGUGACCGGCUUGUCCCCACCCCCAGCUGUGGACAGUGCCGCGGUGGGCCCCGAUCCACCUGCUCCACCUGCGGGGCCGCGGGAGGGGAGGGGAGGGGGCCCUCCGCCUCGCUCCAGGGACCCCUGCGGCCGGGCUCUCUUCCCUCCCCGUUUGUAGCGACGAGGAGGCGGAGGCUCAGACAGGGGCACAGAGGUCAGCGGCACAGGUGGCCUUUAGGGCUCCGAGUGUGUAAGCAGCGCCCUGGGUGCCUCCGUGUGGCUUCGUCUCAGCCGUCCUGAUAGACACGUCGGGUCCCUCUGCAGCUCACGGAGGAGGUGUGGGGUGCACAUUCUGUCCGUCCAGGACUGCUUCAAGGUGUGGUGGCCCUGGGGGUCCCCGCCGUGGAGAGCUCGCCGGAGGGUGACCUGCUGGUGUCAGGGAGGACACUGUAGGUGUGGCACCUGUUGAGCUGCAUGACUGUCCCGUGGAGAGGACCAAAGGGAGCACCCCGUGACAGAGCAAUGCGAGGAACCAGGUGCGCACGGCAGUCUGGUGGAGGAGAGAGUGGCCCGCUAGGCUUGGUUUCACCAGGGCAGAGCCCAGGCAGCCGAAGGCGCUAGAAGGCCCUAGAAGGGACAGGACAGCACAGCACAGCGUGUUCAGCAUCAGAAGGAGCUUUCAGUGACCAGAGUCCCGUCAGGCAACUCCUGAUUCUGGGCAGAAGGCAAGGCGAGCGAGGAUGCGCACAUCCGGGUCAGCCCAAGCUCUUCACUGUUCUGGGAGUUGGCACUGGGGGGUCCCAUUGGUUCGCCGGAAGGGAAGCCAGCAGUGCUGGGGGGCAGGGAUUCAUUCGCAUUAGCUAACAGGCUGUUUCCGCCCAAGGGAAAAGUACUGGCCAUCCCCCUUACCAACCACAGCGUUUUUUGGGGGAGCCUAACAACAGGGCUGUGUUUCCUCCGAGGGCUGUGGCGGGUCGUGGGUGGGCCUUGCUUCCACUCCGGCCACUGGAUUGGCGGCAUGAAUGAAUCACGAGGGGAAAGAAAAUGAUAAAACUCCAUCUCAUUUGGAAACAUGAAUCACAGCUCAUUGUUUGCAUGUACUUGGAAUCUGUCAGAAGCAUUGUUUGUAAAUGAGACACUUUAUUUUUUUGCAAAAUGGGGAAAAGAGUAAACAGCUGAUCUGUUGCUUCCUCAGCAAGGCAGGAAGUGCUGGUCUCUCCCCAGGCCCCCCAUUUAUUCCAGUGUGGGUUGGGGUUGCCCCCAGGAAAUUUUCCAGCCUGUUAAUGUCUCCCCCUGGGCUUGAGUUGAGUGGGUCAGUGUUUACAGAUUUGGUUAAUUAACACAGGGAGGAAUUUUGACUUGCCUUCACGGGAGUGCGGUGGUGGUGGUGGGGGGAAGCUUGGCACAGGUGAACUUUUCCAUCAUCCCCCAGCUAGGCAGAGUCUGAGGUCUCAACGCUAAUAAAACUAUUAUUGGUCCUGUUCCUAAAAUGAGGUAAAAAGAUGCAGUGUGUUUUAGAGUCACACCUGAGAAUGGUGCGCUCACCUCUCUUGGUGUGAAGGUCAGAAUAACGGCCCUCAAAAUGUCCAUGCCCUAACCCCCAGACCGCGUAAAUGCGUUCUGUGACAUGGCCGAAAGGGCUUUGCAGAUGGGGUUAACGUAAUGAAACAGAGUUGGAGAGAUGACGUUGCAUUAGCUACAUGGGCCCCCAAAGCAGAGAACUUUUCUCUGGCUGGUCACAGAAGAGUGGAUUAAGAGGUUCCAAGCCUGGGCAGGGUCCCACGCAAGGUUGCUGGCCCUGAGAUGUAAGAGCUUGCUUGCAGGGACCAGAGGAAGCCCAGGGAGCUCAGGGCAGCCCCCCAGCUGGCAACCAGCAAGGAAAUGUGGACCUCAGCCCUGCAGGUACAACCGGAUCCUGCUCGCACCCCGACUGAGCCUGAAAAGGGAUCCAUCCCUUCCUGAGCUCCCGACGAGAGCCCAGCUGGCCAACAGCUGGACUUGGAGACCCAGAGCCACUGAGUGUCUGACCUGGGGAGCUGUGAGAUUAUCCCUGGGGACCCUUUGAAGCUGCUCAGGGAGUGGUGGUUAAGACGGCAAUAGAAAAACCAGCAGAAGCGUGGGAGAGUGAGGUUUGUUAUGGAGGAGGUGGAACCCCAGUGGAUCCAAUGUGGGUGCUUAAUUCUGGCCUUUCGACGGAGAGCUCAAACGGGAGGUGGGUGUUGGUGCUGCAGACACUUUAGCUCCUGGCUCUUACUCCUUCUGUGGCCCCUAAGCCCCUUCCUGUUUCCCCAUCUGGAAGGUGGAGCUAAGCCUGCCUACCACAAAGACUGAGGACGAUGAUGCCUUGAGAUGAUGAUGUUGGCAGAGCAGGGGGGCAUCAUGUUUGAGAUCAGCCAAGCGCUCAAUGGC